This 251-nucleotide ribosomal RNA is filed under the name uncultured prokaryote. RNAcentral describes it as "partial 16S ribosomal RNA". It matches the Rfam family "Bacterial small subunit ribosomal RNA", at positions 525 to 775 of the family's 1533-position model. The record is from RNAcentral.
ACGUAGGACGCAAGCGUUAUCCGGAAUUACUGGGCGUAAAGGGCGUGUAGGCGGCACGGUAAGUCAACCGUGAAAGCUCCCGGCUAAACUGGGAGAGGUCGGAUGAGACUGCCGAGCUAGAGGGUCGUAGAGGGGUGUGGAAUUCCGGGUGUAGUGGUGAAAUGCGUAGAGAUCCGGAGGAACCCCGGUGGCGAAGGCGACUUGCUGGGCCUGAACUGACGCUCAGACGCGAAAGCAUGGGGAGCGAACGG